GACGAACGCUGGCGGCGUGCUUAACACAUGCAAGUCGAACGGAAAGGCCCUGCUUUUGUGGGGUGCUCGAGUGGCGAACGGGUGAGUAACACGUGAGUAACCUGCCCUUGACUUUGGGAUAACUUCAGGAAACUGGGGCUAAUACCGGAUAGGAGCUCCUGCUGCAUGGUGGGGGUUGGAAAGUUUCGGCGGUUGGGGAUGGACUCGCGGCUUAUCAGCUUGUUGGUGGGGUAGUGGCUUACCAAGGCUUUGACGGGUAGCCGGCCUGAGAGGGUGACCGGCAAAAUGGGGACUGGGUUACGGCCCAGACUCCAACGGGGGGAAGCGGGGGGGAUUAUUGCACAAGGGGCGGAGGCCGGAGGAAGAAACGCCGGGGCCGGAAGACGGGCCUUCGGGUGGUAAACGGCUUUCGCCGGUGAGGAGGGGGAGGGACCGGAAAGGGUAAAGGAGGCACGGCUAACUUACGG
This 467-nucleotide ribosomal RNA is filed under the name uncultured bacterium. Its description in RNAcentral is "partial 16S ribosomal RNA". It matches the Rfam family "Bacterial small subunit ribosomal RNA", at positions 28 to 507 of the family's 1533-position model. The record is from RNAcentral.